GUGGAUUAGAUACCCGGGUAGUCCACGCCGUAAACGAUGGACACUAGGCGUCGGGGGGAGCGACCCCCUCGGUGCCGUCGCUAACGCAGUAAGUGUCCCGCCUGGGGAGUACGGCCGCAAGGCUGAAACUCAAAGGAAUUGACGGGGGCCCGCACAAGCGGUGGAGCAUGUGGUUUAAUUCGAAGCAACGCGAAGAACCUUACCUGGGCUUGACAUGCUGGUGUAAGCCGGUGGAAACAUCGGCCCCUCUUCGGAGCGCCAGCACAGGUGCUGCACGGCCGUCGACAACU
This 290-nucleotide ribosomal RNA is filed under the name uncultured bacterium. Its description in RNAcentral is "partial 16S ribosomal RNA". It matches the Rfam family "Bacterial small subunit ribosomal RNA", at positions 773 to 1060 of the family's 1533-position model. The record is from RNAcentral.